RNAcentral lists this ribosomal RNA (945 nucleotides) under Cortinarius infractus. RNAcentral describes it as "eukaryotic LSU rRNA". It matches the Rfam family "Eukaryotic large subunit ribosomal RNA", at positions 1 to 929 of the family's 3401-position model. The record is from RNAcentral. Lineage: Eukaryota; Fungi; Basidiomycota; Agaricomycetes; Agaricales; Cortinariaceae.
UGUGACCUCAAAUCAGGUAGGACUACCCGCUGAACUUAAGCAUAUCAAUAAGCGGAGGAAAAGAAACUAACAAGGAUUCCCCUAGUAACUGCGAGUGAAGCGGGAAAAGCUCAAAUUUAAAAUCUGGCAGUCUUUGGCUGUCCGAGUUGUAAACUAGAGAAGUGUUAUCCGCGCUGGACCGUGUACAAGUCUCCUGGAAUGGAGCGUCAUAGAGGGUGAGAAUCCCGUCUUUGACAUGGACUACCAGGGCUUUGUGAUGCGCUCUCAAAGAGUCGGGUUGUUUGGGAAUGCAGCUCAAAAUGGGUGGUAAAUUCCAUCUAAAGCUAAAUAUUGGCGAGAGACCGAUAGCGAACAAGUACCGUGAGGGAAAGAUGAAAAGAACUUUGGAAAGAGAGUUAAACAGUACGUGAAAUUGCUGAAAGGGAAACGCUUGAAGUCAGUCGCGUUAUCCAGGGAUCAACCUUGCUUUUGCUUGGUGUACUUUCUGGUUGACGGGUCAGCAUCAAUUUUGACUGUUGGAAAAAGAUUAGGGGAAUGUGACAUCUUCGGAUGUGUUAUAGCCCUUGGUUGCAUACAAUGGUUGGGAUUGAGGAACUCAGCACGCCGCAAGGCCGGGUAAUCUUACCACGUACGUGCUUCGGAUGCUGGCAUAAUUGCUUUAAUCGACCCGUCUUGAAACACGGACCAAGGAGUCUAACAUGCCUGCGACUCUUUGGGUGGAAAACCCGAGCGCGUAAUGAAAGUGAAAGUUGAGAUCCCUGUCGUGGGGACCAUGGACGCCCGGACCAGACCUUUUGUGACGGUUCCGCGCUAGAGCAUCUAUGUCGGGACCCGAAAGAUGGUGAACUAUGCCUGAAUAGGGUGAAGCCAGAGGAAACUGUGGUGGAGGCUCGUACCGAUUCUGACGUGCAAAUCGAUCGUCAAAUCUGGGUAUAGGGGCGAAAG